UACGAAGGGUGGAAGCGUUACUCGGAAUUACUGGGCGUAAAGCGUGCGUAGGUGGUUCGUUAAGUCUGAUGUGAAAGCCCUGGGCUCAACCUGGGAAUGGCAUUGGAAACUGGCGACCUAGAGUGCGGUAGAGGGUAGUGGAAUUCCCGGUGUAGCAGUGAAAUGCGUAGAGAUCGGGAGGAACAUCCGUGGCGAAGGCGACUACCUGGACCAGCACUGACACUCAGGGACGAAAGCUAGGGGAGCGAAUGGG
This 253-nucleotide ribosomal RNA is filed under the name uncultured bacterium. RNAcentral describes it as "partial 16S ribosomal RNA". It matches the Rfam family "Bacterial small subunit ribosomal RNA", at positions 524 to 776 of the family's 1533-position model. The record is from RNAcentral.